GACGAACGCUGGCGGCGUGCUUAACACACGCAAGUCGAACGGAAAGGCCCUGCUUUUGUGGGGUGCUCGAGUGGCGAACGGGUGAGUAACACGUGAGUAACCUGCCCUUGACUUUGGGAUAACUUCAGGAAACUGGGGCUAAUACCGGAUAGGAGCUCCUGCUGCAUGGUGGGGGUUGGAAAGUUUCGGCGGUUGGGGAUGGACUCGCGGCUUAUCAGCUUGUUGGUGGGGUAGUGGCUUACCAAGGCUUUGACGGGUAGCCGGCCUGAGAGGGUGACCGGCCACAUUGGGACUGAGAUACGGCACAGACUCCUACGGGAGGCAGCAGUGGGGAAUAUUGCACAAUGGGCGGAAGCCUGAUGCAGCAACGCCGCGUGCGGGAUGACGGCCUUCGGGUUGUAAACCGCUUUCGCCUGUGACGAAGCGUGAGUGACGGUAAUGGGUAAAGAAGCACCGGCUAAGUACGUG
Molecule: ribosomal RNA, 468 nt
Filed under: uncultured bacterium
Lineage: Bacteria
Description: partial 16S ribosomal RNA
Rfam family: Bacterial small subunit ribosomal RNA
Source: RNAcentral